CCUACAUGAAGUUGGAAUUGCUAGUAAUCGUGAAUCAGAUAUGUCACGGUGAAUAUGUUCCUGGGUCUUGUACUCACCGCCCGUCAAAGCAUGGAAGAUGUACCUACCGGAAGUCCCUUAAGUAAUAAGAGGGCCCAUGGUAGAGAUGUUGACUGGGCUUAAGUCGUAACAAGGUAUCCGUACGAGAACGUGCGGAUGGACUACCUCUUUU
RNAcentral lists this ribosomal RNA (211 nucleotides) under Candidatus Altimarinota bacterium. RNAcentral's name for it is "partial 16S ribosomal RNA". It matches the Rfam family "Bacterial small subunit ribosomal RNA", at positions 1315 to 1533 of the family's 1533-position model. Lineage: Bacteria; Candidatus Altimarinota. The record is from RNAcentral.